This 386-nucleotide ribosomal RNA is filed under the name marine Metazoa environmental sample. RNAcentral's name for it is "SSU rRNA". It matches the Rfam family "Eukaryotic small subunit ribosomal RNA", at positions 587 to 972 of the family's 1831-position model. The record is from RNAcentral. Lineage: Eukaryota; Metazoa.
AGCUCCAAUAGGGUAUAUUAAAGUUGCUGCAGUUAAAAAGCUCGUAGUUGGAUCUCAGGGUACCUGGUCUAGCCGGUAUAGCUCACGCUUAAACUUGUCUGACCCCCUAACGUGAGGUAUUCGUCUCCGGGUGCACUUCACUGGGUGCUCGUGAGGUGCCUCGUAGUUACUGUGAAAAAAUUAGAGUGUUCAAAGCAGGCUCAUAUGUUCGGAUAGUCGCGCAUGGAAUAACUGAAUACGUGACUGGCGCUUUUCAGUUGGUCUCGGCGACUGGUCAAAUGAUUAAGAGGGACUGUCGGGGGCAUUGGUAUGGCGGGGUUAGAGGUGAAAUUCUUGGAUCCUCGCCAGACCAACAAAAGCGAAAGCAUUUGCCAAGAAUGUCUUCA